This 1567-nucleotide ribosomal RNA is filed under the name Mammaliicoccus fleurettii. RNAcentral describes it as "bacterial LSU rRNA". It matches the Rfam family "Bacterial large subunit ribosomal RNA", at positions 860 to 2425 of the family's 2925-position model. The record is from RNAcentral. Lineage: Bacteria; Bacillati; Bacillota; Bacilli; Caryophanales; Staphylococcaceae.
CGAAAUAGCUUUAGGGCUAGCCUCAAGUGAUGAUUAUUGGAGGUAGAGCACUGUUUGGACGAGGGGCCCCUCUAGGGUUACCGAAUUCAGACAAACUCCGAAUGCCAAAUAAUUUAACUUGGGAGUCAGACUAUGGGUGAUAAGGUCCGUAGUCGAAAGGGAAACAGCCCAGACCACCAGCUAAGGUCCCAAAAUAUAUGUUAAGUGGAAAAGGAUGUGGCGUUGCCCAGACAACUAGGAUGUUGGCUUAGAAGCAGCCAUCAUUUAAAGAGUGCGUAAUAGCUCACUAGUCGAGUGACACUGCGCCGAAAAUGUACCGGGGCUAAACAUAUUACCGAAGCUGUGGAUUAUCCGUAAGGAUAGUGGUAGGAGAGCGUUCUAAACGUGUUGAAGCAUGAUCGUAAGGACAUGUGGAAUGUUUAGAAGUGAGAAUGCCGGUGUGAGUAGCGAAAGAUGGGUGAGAAUCCCAUCCACCGAUUGACUAAGGUUUCCAGAGGAAGGCUCGUCCGCUCUGGGUUAGUCGGGACCUAAGCCGAGGCCGAUAGGCGUAGGCGAUGGAUAACAGGUAGAUAUUCCUGUACCACCUAUGAUUGUUUGAACGAUGGGGGGACGCAGUAGGAUAGGCGAAGCGUGCUGUUGGAGUGCACGUCCAAGCAACAAGACUGAGUGUUAGGCAAAUCCGGCACUUAUAAGGUUGAGUUGUGAUGGGGAGCUGGAUCAUGUAUCCGGCGAGUCGUUGAUUUCACACUGCCAAGAAAAGCCUCUAGUUAGAAAAUAGGUGCCCGUACCGCAAACCGACACAGGUAGUCAAGAUGAGAAUUCUAAGGUGAGCGAGCGAACUCUCGUUAAGGAACUCGGCAAAAUGACCCCGUAACUUCGGGAGAAGGGGUGCUUUUUAGGGUGCAAGCCUUGAAGAGCCGCAGUGAAUAGGCCCAAGCGACUGUUUAUCAAAAACACAGGUCUCUGCUAAACCGUAAGGUGAUGUAUAGGGGCUGACGCCUGCCCGGUGCUGGAAGGUUAAGAGGAGUGGUUAGCUUCUGCGAAGCUACGAAUCGAAGCCCCAGUAAACGGCGGCCGUAACUAUAACGGUCCUAAGGUAGCGAAAUUCCUUGUCGGGUAAGUUCCGACCCGCACGAAAGGCGUAACGAUUUGGGCACUGUCUCAACGAGAGACUCGGUGAAAUCAUAGUACCUGUGAAGAUGCAGGUUACCCGCGACAGGACGGAAAGACCCCGUGGAGCUUUACUGUAGCCUGAUAUUGAAAUUUGGCACAGCUUGUACAGGAUAGGUAGGAGCCUUUGAAGCGUGAGCGCUAGCUUACGUGGAGGCGCUGGUGGGAUACUACCCUGGCUGUGUUGACUUUCUAACCCGCACCAUUUGAUCAUGGUGGGAGACAGUGUCAGGCGGGCAGUUUGACUGGGGCGGUCGCCUCCUAAAGAGUAACGGAGGCGCUCAAAGGUUCCCUCAGAAUGGUUGGAAAUCAUUCGCAGAGUGUAAAGGCACAAGGGAGCUUGACUGCGAGACUUACAAGUCGAGCAGGGUCGAAAGACGGACUUAGUGAUCCGGUG